UACGUAGGGGGCUAGCGUUGUCCGGAAUCAUUGGGCGUAAAGCGCGUGUAGGCGGUCCGGUAAGUCCGCUGUGAAAGUCGGGGGCUCAACCCUCGAAUGCCGGUGGAUACUGUCGGGCUAGAGUGCGGAGGAGGCGAGUGGAAUUCCUGGUGUAGCGGUGAAAUGCGCAGAUAUCAGGAGGAACACCAAUUGCGAAGGCAGCUCGCUGGGACGUUACUGACGCUGAGACGCGAAAGCGUGGGGAGCAAACAGG
Molecule: ribosomal RNA, 253 nt
Filed under: uncultured bacterium
Lineage: Bacteria
Description: partial 16S ribosomal RNA
Rfam family: Bacterial small subunit ribosomal RNA
Source: RNAcentral